CAGGAAAUAGUUUAUUAAAAUUUUAAUUUUGGAGAUUGAAGAUGAGUUUUUUACUCUUUCCUGA
Molecule: transfer RNA, 64 nt
Filed under: Cleroidea sp. 5 KM-2017
Lineage: Eukaryota; Metazoa; Arthropoda; Insecta; Coleoptera
Description: tRNA-Pro
Source: RNAcentral